Sander lucioperca (pikeperch) is the source of this 320-nucleotide long non-coding RNA. RefSeq lists it as uncharacterized. The record is from RefSeq and is a predicted model, not a curated record. The transcript has 2 exons. NCBI's taxonomy places the organism in Eukaryota, Metazoa, Chordata, Actinopteri, Perciformes, Percidae.
GACUAUGGAUCAGUCAGAAAGGGUCUACUGGUGUGCCAUAAACAUAAUUUGCAGGUGACAUUAAGAGACAUUUAUAAAUAAGCCUGUGAUGUAUAAUUGUCGACGAGCCAGAAAAAACACAUUACCUUUCUUGAUGAUGACCAAGUUGAGCACGCUGAGAUUGGCGUCAACGAUGCAACCACGGACAGACUUGCGUUUGCGCUCACCAGUCCUGCGGGGACGGUAGCAGGAGUGGCCCUUGCUGAGCAGCAGGCGCACACGGCCGUGGGUCAGCACCCCCUGCUUCAUGGGGAAGCCCUGUUUGUCGUUGCCUCCGCUGA